CCUACGGGAGGCAGCAGUGGGGAAUAUUGCACAAUGGGGGAAACCCUGAUGCAGCGACGCCGCGUGAGUGAUGAAGUAAUUCGGUAUGUAAAGCUCUGUCAGCAGGGAAGAAAAUGACGGUACCUGAGUAAGAAGCCCCGGCUAACUACGUGCCAGCAGCCGCGGUAAUACGUAGGGGGCAAGCGUUAUCCGGAUUUACUGGGGGUAAAGGGAGCGUAGACGGGAGUGUAAGUCAGGGGUGAAAGGCGGGGGCUCAAACCCCGGACAGCUUUGGAAACUGUACGGCUGGAGUGCAGGAGAGGAGAGUGGAAUUCCUAGUGUAGCGGUGAAAUGCGUAGAUAUUAGGAGGAACACCAGUGGCGAAGGCGGCUUACUGGACUGUAACUGACGUUGAGGCACGAAAGCGUGGGGAGCAAACAGGAUUAGAUACCCUAGUAGUC
Molecule: ribosomal RNA, 440 nt
Filed under: uncultured bacterium
Lineage: Bacteria
Description: partial 16S ribosomal RNA
Rfam family: Bacterial small subunit ribosomal RNA
Source: RNAcentral